AACGAACGCUAGCGGUGUGGAUUAGGCAUGCAAGUCGCGCGCGAAAGCCUUCGGGCGAGUAAAGCGGCGAAAGGGUGAGUAACACGUAACCAACGUACCCCUCAGACUGGGAUAACCACUGGAAACGGUGGAUAAUACCGGAUGGUCCACUGGGCAGCAUUGCCUGGCUGGUAAACGGCGGCCGCAAGGCGGUUGCUGAGGGAGCGGGUUGCGGCCUAUCAGCUUGUUGGUGAGGUAACGGCUCACCAAGGCUAUGACGGGUAACAGGUCUGAGAGGAUGAUCUGUCACACUGGGACUGAGGCACUGCCCAGACUCCUACGGGAGGCUGCAGUCGAGAAUCUUCCACAAUGGGCGAAAGCCUGAUGGAGCGACACCGCGUGCAGAAUGAAGGCCU
Molecule: ribosomal RNA, 395 nt
Filed under: uncultured bacterium
Lineage: Bacteria
Description: bacterial SSU rRNA
Rfam family: Bacterial small subunit ribosomal RNA
Source: RNAcentral